RNAcentral lists this ribosomal RNA (263 nucleotides) under uncultured Facklamia sp. RNAcentral describes it as "partial 16S ribosomal RNA". It matches the Rfam family "Bacterial small subunit ribosomal RNA", at positions 505 to 767 of the family's 1533-position model. The record is from RNAcentral. Lineage: Bacteria; Bacillati; Bacillota; Bacilli; Lactobacillales; Aerococcaceae.
GUGCCAGCAGCCGCGGUAAUACGUAGGUGGCAAGCGUUAUCCGGAUUUAUUGGGCGUAAAGCGAGCGCAGGCGGUGACUUAAGUCUGAUGUGAAAGCCCACGGCUCAACCGUGGAAGGUCAUUGGAAACUGGGUCACUUGAGUGCAGAAGAGGAAAGUGGAAUUCCAUGUGUAGCGGUGAAAUGCGUAGAUAUAUGGAGGAACACCAGUGGCGAAGGCGACUUUCUGGUCUGUAACUGACGCUGAGGCUCGAAAGCGUGGGGA